GCUGGGUGGAUCAGUGGCGAACGGGUGAGUAACACGUGAGCAACCUGCCCCAGACUUCGGGAUAAGCCUUGGAAACGAGGUCUAAUACUGGAUAUGAGGUCACAUCGCAUGGUGUGGUCUGGAAAGAUUUAUCGGUCUGGGAUGGGCUCGCGGCCUAUCAGCUUGUUGGUGGGGUAGUGGCCUACCAAGGCGACGACGGGUAGCCGGCCUGAGAGGGCGACCGGCCACACUGGGACUGAGACACGGCCCAGACUCCUACGGGAGGCAGCAGUGGGGAAUAUUGCACAAUGGGCGCAAGCCUGAUGCAGCGACGCCGCGUGAGGGAUGAAGGCCUUCGGGUUGUAAACCUCUUUCAGCAGGGAAGAAGCGCAAGUGACGGUACCUGCAGAAGAAGCGCCGGCUAACUACGUGCCAGCAGCCGCGGUAAUACGUAGGGCGCAAGCGUUGUCCGGAAUUAUUGGGCGUAAAGAGCUCGUAGGCGGUCUGUCGCGUCUGGUGUGAAAACUCAAGGCUCAACCUUGAGCUUGCAUCGGGUACGGGCAGACUAGAGUGCGGUAGGGGAGACUGGAAUUCCUGGUGUAGCGGUGGAAUGCGCAGAUAUCAGGAGGAACACCGAUGGCGAAGGCAGGUCUCUGGGCCGCAACUGACGCUGAGGAGCGAAAGCAUGGGGAGCGAACAGGAUUAGAUACCCUGGUAGUCCAUGCCGUAAACGUUGGGCACUAGGUGUGGGGCUCAUUCCACGAGUUCCGUGCCGCAGCAAACGCAUUAAGUGCCCCGCCUGGGGAGUACGGCCGCAAGGCUAAAACUCAAAGGAAUUGACGGGGGCCCGCACAAGCGGCGGAGCAUGCGGAUUAAUUCGAUGCAACGCGAAGAACCUUACCAAGGCUUGACAUACACCGGAAACUUCCAGAGAUGGUUGCCCCGCAAGGUCGGUGUACAGGUGGUGCAUGGUUGUCGUCAGCUCGUGUCGUGAGAUGUUGGGUUAAGUCCCGCAACGAGCGCAACCCUCGUCCUAUGUUGCCAGCACGUGAUGGUGGGGACUCAUAGGAGACUGCCGGGGUCAACUCGGAGGAAGGUGGGGAUGACGUCAAAUCAUCAUGCCCCUUAUGUCUUGGGCUUCACGCAUGCUACAAUGGCCGGUACAAAGGGCUGCGAUACCGUAAGGUGGAGCGAAUCCCAAAAAGCCGGUCUCAGUUCGGAUUGGGGUCUGCAACUCGACCCCAUGAAGUCGGAGUCGCUAGUAAUCGCAGAUCAGCAACGCUGCGGUGAAUACGUUCCCGGGCCUUGUACACACCGCCCGUCAAGUCACGA
RNAcentral lists this ribosomal RNA (1311 nucleotides) under Oerskovia turbata. Its description in RNAcentral is "bacterial SSU rRNA". It matches the Rfam family "Bacterial small subunit ribosomal RNA", at positions 82 to 1407 of the family's 1533-position model. Lineage: Bacteria; Bacillati; Actinomycetota; Actinomycetes; Micrococcales; Cellulomonadaceae. The record is from RNAcentral.